Solea solea (common sole) is the source of this 324-nucleotide long non-coding RNA. RefSeq lists it as uncharacterized. The transcript has 5 exons. The record is from RefSeq and is a predicted model, not a curated record. NCBI's taxonomy places the organism in Eukaryota, Metazoa, Chordata, Actinopteri, Pleuronectiformes, Soleidae.
GUAUCUGUGAGUUAAUGUUAAUAAACAUUGGAGUUUAUCAAGUAUACAAAGAAAAAGACGUCUGUUGUUGCUGGAAAAGUGAAGGAGAGCUGAACUCCUGACCAGUAACAUAUGGAGCUGAUCACCUGCUUGCAUUAACCACAGUCCAUAGAGAAAAUCAACAAUUUUACAUCACAGCACACGAGGAGUCGUUGAUCCACUGCUGCGUCGGUAAGCCGUCGGAAGACAAGUCCCCCAUAAUGUGGCUGUGUGAACAGAUUCCGGUCCCUACAACAUAUGGAAUACCAGGAAGCCGGCGAAUCAGUGUCUUUGUCACCAGAGAGG